ACUCCUACGGGAGGCAGCAGUGAGGAAUAUUGCACAAUGGGGGGAACCCUGAUGCAGCAACGCCGCGUGGAGGAUGACGCAUUUCGGUGUGUAAACUCCUUUUAUCAGAGAAGAAGAUGACGGUAUCUGAUGAAUAAGCUCCGGCUAACUCCGUGCCAGCAGCCGCGGUAAUACGGAGGGAGCAAGCGUUAUUCGGAAUCACUGGGCGUAAAGGACGCGUAGGCGGGUUUGUAAGUCAGGUGUGAAAUCCUACAGCUCAACUGUAGAACGGCACUUGAAACUACAGACCUAGAGUAUGGAAGGGGCAGAUGGAAUUAGUGGUGUAGGGGUAAAAUCCGUAGAUAUCACUAGGAAUACCGAAAGCGAAGGCGAUCUGCUGGGACAUUACUGACGCUGAGGCGUGAAAGCGUGGGGAGCAAACAGGAUUAGAUACCCUGGUAGUCCACGCCCUAAACGAUGAACACUAGUCGUCGGGGUACAAGUUACUUCGGUGAUGCACUUAACAGAUUAAGUGCUCCGCCUGGGGAGUACGGUCGCAAGAUUAAAACUCAAAGGAAUAGACGGGGACCCGCACAAGUGGUGGAGCAUGUGGUUUAAUUCGAAGAUACGCGAAGAACCUUACCUAGCCUUGACAUAUUUGAGAAUCUUCCAGAGAUGGAGGAGUGCCUUCGGGAAUUCAUAUACAGGUGCUGCACGGCUGUCGUCAGCUCGUGUCGUGAGAUGUUGGGUUAAGUCCCGCAACGAGCGCAACCCUCGUCACUAGUUACUAACGGUUCGGCCGAGGACUCUAGUGAGACUGCCUUCGCAAGGAGGAGGAAGGUGAGGACGACGCCAGUCAUCAUGGCCCUUACGGCUAGGGCAACACACGUGCUACAAUGGCCAGGACAAUGAGAAGCGAUACCGCGAGGUGGAGCAAAUCUAUAAACCUGGUCUCAGUUCG
This 940-nucleotide ribosomal RNA is filed under the name uncultured Campylobacterota bacterium. Its description in RNAcentral is "bacterial SSU rRNA". It matches the Rfam family "Bacterial small subunit ribosomal RNA", at positions 335 to 1295 of the family's 1533-position model. Lineage: Bacteria; Pseudomonadati; Campylobacterota. The record is from RNAcentral.